Molecule: long non-coding RNA, 265 nt
Filed under: Lathyrus oleraceus (garden pea)
Lineage: Eukaryota; Viridiplantae; Streptophyta; Magnoliopsida; Fabales; Fabaceae
Description: Pisum sativum (pea) long non-coding RNA (PSAT_LNC041995)
Source: RNAcentral
GGAACCCUUUUCGCAAAUAUGUGUUGUAGGUUGGUAUUUGUGAAAAGAUUUGUGCAAAAGAUUGGAGGGAUGAGAAGAGAAUAGAUUAUAUUUACAAGUUUUGUUGUUUGGAUAGAUGAACCCAUUACCUACGUACCAUCACAAAGGAGGAUCAAAACCUCGUAGUUUAUGGUAAAAAAUCUCAAAGAUUGGUGAAUUGAUUUUAAUCAAAAGCCUUAAGGUCUUUUGUUAUCAAAGGGAGAAAACUCAACCUAAACCCACAAUC